This 591-nucleotide long non-coding RNA is filed under the name Setaria viridis. Its description in RNAcentral is "long non-coding RNA (SVIR_LNC006173)". The record is from RNAcentral. Lineage: Eukaryota; Viridiplantae; Streptophyta; Magnoliopsida; Poales; Poaceae.
AUUUUGGAGUGAACUAAACAUAGCCGCAGAUGAACACCAACGGGAUAAGGAUGAAGCGUCUGGAGGGGUACAUGUGGAAGAGAACUAUUGGUUCUCCUCCUAUAGACAAUUAAUUAUUGGUCGACAAGCAGAGGAGCAUAUGCUUGAUGCUCCUCCUGUUGUUCUAUAGGAGUGCUAUUUUGGCAUCCAAGGGAAUUGACAGUUCACCCAAAAAUCUCAUAGGCACUCUUGAACUGGUCAUGGACUCCUGGUGCGUGCUGUCAAGUAUGGCAUCCGGACGUCAUGCUCGUGUCAGAUGGCCCGUGAACUCGUCUGUGCAAGCUGUUGGUUUGGGUCAGUCUGUCCUCUUUUUAUUGCGAUUCGGAGCGAGUGGUGCUGAGUUUUGGUUGUUAGGUCUUUUUAUUUGACCAAGUGGUCUGCGUGUUGCUCGACUUACCAGAGUAGUGGCGUCGUGUUUGCUAGUUGGAUCAUUCUCUGCACCGACGUUAUAUUAUUGAGGUAGUGUGCCACACCGCGCAUGUCAGGUUGUGUGGUUUUCGGAUAUGUUUUCACUAAAAAAAACUGGACCAUCAUCUCUUUUAUUUCCCUCCC